AACAAGGAGAAAGAAGAUUACAAAGAUCAUAUACAACCACGAAUGUCAACAGCUCUGAACCUGAAAAAACUAAACAAAGGGCUUCAAAUCCAUUGAAUAACGUUAAUAUAAGACAAACUCUGUCCCAAGUGCACCCUUUAACGACUACCCUCUCAUGUAAUAAUAAAAAGUCUUCGCAUUCUCAAAGAUUAAAUAAAAAUUCUACCAUGACUGAUGAAAGUGAUGAUGAUGGUGGUGAUUAGACUGAAGACUUUAACAAUAAUGAAAACAAUCUUCAAUUAGACGAUUUCCAAAUCCAAAAUCAAGAUACUAACUCUAACUUGCAGAUGACAGAACUGAAAAAAUUCAUGACUUCAGAACUUGAAAGAAUAAAGAGAAGCAUUCAAUAUGAUUUAAAAAAUCGAAUUGAUAACUUACUAAGUAUCAUACACGCAGAAAGCGCUAAGCGCUCAAAUGCAGAAAGCCCAUGGAAAAUAUUGGGAACAAAAUUACCGAAUGAAACUUUAGAAGACUUCAUUCUAUUUGAAGAAAGUUUAAUCGAUAUUUCUAAACAGGACGCAUUGAAAGAAAUUUUUCAUCUUGUAACUGUCGGCUCUACUAAUUAGGAACGUGAUGUACACACGAUUAUAAGUAAAAUAAUAAACAAAUCUGUACAGAUGUUGUAUAGUGGAGCAGGACGGAAAUCGAAGAGUCAAGCAAAAAAAAGUUUCCAGGAAACUCAAACUUAUAAAUCUAUGGAUGAAUUCUUGAAAAAAAAAUAUGAAAACAGUUCGACACAAAUAAAGGUUUUGACAGUAACCAGCCAUUAUUUGUCGGGUGCGCCUGAUCGCGAGGGCGGAAGAAAAUCCUGAAUUCAAAAAAAUAAUUAGAAAACCUGCAAUAUCGAUGUCUCUGUUUUGGAAAUAAUGUUUAUUUUUUUUUAUUUUAUGCGUAGUAAUUAUAAUUUGAAAUAUACAUAUAAGAACUUUACUAUUUAUUUAAUAAUAAGUUAUCUUGAUUAAUAACACGAUGUUAAAUUCGAAAAAUAUUACACAUAAGUAUAAGAAAA
Molecule: long non-coding RNA, 1048 nt
Organism: Microplitis mediator
Lineage: Eukaryota; Metazoa; Arthropoda; Insecta; Hymenoptera; Braconidae
Exons: 3
Source: RefSeq, a predicted model, not a curated record